This is a long non-coding RNA of Mercenaria mercenaria, 1070 nucleotides long. RefSeq lists it as uncharacterized. Lineage: Eukaryota; Metazoa; Mollusca; Bivalvia; Venerida; Veneridae. The transcript has 3 exons. The record is from RefSeq and is a predicted model, not a curated record.
AGGACAUAGACGUUGGCGCGCGUCAGCUGACAAAGAGAGAAAGGAAUAAAAGCAUAAAAGAAGGAGUAUAGUAAUACAGAUUAAAGUAUGGUUCCCCAGCAACAGGUGGGGUGGAGCAUGUUCCUCCAGGUGGACUGGGGUUAAUCAAGGGCUGUAACUCCGGACCCUACGAUUGGAUCUGACGGAUUCAUCAUGGAAUCCAAGACCUAUUGUUGUUAAAGAUAUUUUGCAACUUUGUAUUAAAUCAAACCAUAAAUAAAGUCUUUAUGGCUGCAAGUCAUAUUUUGGCCCUUUAAGGGGCCAGAACUCUGGAACCCAUGAUUGGAUCUGGCCAGUUUUCGAAAGGAACUGAGAUAUUAUGCCAAUGCAAGUUGUGUGUAAUUUACAACUAAAAUCAAAUACAAAAUGUGGUCUCUAUCAUGUUCACAAGAAAUUGUGGACGGACAACAUCGAUGGAACGAUCACAAAAGCUCACUAUGUCACUACGUGACAGCGGUGAGCUAAAAACAAAACAAAAAAUAUUGGGAAUGUCAGCAUUGAAUUUUCUGAUGGUAGAAGGCUUGAACUGCUCACAGAUUUUAUUUUGGCAUGUGUCUAUUAUGUAUGCAUUGAAUGCUAGUUCUGAUAUAUUUCAAGGUUGGGAAUUCUCAAAGAAAAAUUGAGCUGUUUAAAUUGGAUGUUGCGAAAAUCAUAUUUGAUCAAAGUGUUUACAAAAUAAUUUGAUCGGAUUUAACGAUCAAUCAUCUGUGGAUAAUCAUGGCAAGUUUCAGGUUCGUACUUUGAACUACACCGGCGUUCUGGCCCUCCAAAUGGACCUGGGUAUGGACACGUAUCAUAAACUUUACCGCAGAGGACAUUUUGAAAUGCUGUCCAUCACGCCGGAGUUAAAAAAAUACGAGAGGGAAAUUUGCUGUAAAAACUUAGAUUCUGUCUGUUUGUUUUGCUUUUAUGACCCGGGAGGUCAUGUAAUUAAUUGCAGUAUGCAUUGUUUAUACCUAUGUUUAAUAAUGAGCGAUUUUCAAUGCCAUACUAUAAGUAUUUGUCUCCUACAAAACAUACAAUCUGCUACA